Molecule: ribosomal RNA, 458 nt
Filed under: uncultured bacterium
Lineage: Bacteria
Description: bacterial SSU rRNA
Rfam family: Bacterial small subunit ribosomal RNA
Source: RNAcentral
UACGGGAGGCAGCAGUGGGGAAUAUUGCACAAUGGGCGAAAGCCUGAUGCAGCUAUGCCGCGUGUAUGAAGAAGGCCUUAGGGUUGUAAAGUACUUUCAUCGGGGAGGAAAAAACAAAACUAAUAAUUUUAUUUCUUGACGUUACCCGAAAAAGAAGCACCGGCUAACUCCGUGCCAGCAGCCGCGGUAAUACGGAGGGUGCUAGCGUUAAUCAGAAUUACUGGGCGUAAAGAGCACGUAGGUGGUUUUUUAAGUCAGAUGUGAAAUCCCUGGGCUUAACCUAGGAACUGCAUUUUGAAACUGAAAUACUAGAGUAUCGUAGAGGGAGGUAGAAUUCUAGGUGUAGCGGUGAAAUGCGUAGAUAUCUGGAGGAAUACCUGUGGCGAAAGCGGCCUCCUAAACGAAUACUGACACUGAGGGUGCGAAAAGCGUGGGGAGCAAAACAGGGAUUAGAUACC